Molecule: non-coding RNA, 2705 nt
Organism: Nicotiana tabacum (common tobacco)
Lineage: Eukaryota; Viridiplantae; Streptophyta; Magnoliopsida; Solanales; Solanaceae
Source: RefSeq, a predicted model, not a curated record
UCAGUUCUGAACAUAUAGCUUCAUUCUAAAGUUUUUAUAGGAUCGCGUAAUUAUUUUCUCUACAAUUGAAUUGAUUUUGGCGAUAUAAUAUCAAAAUUGGCGAUAAUGCUUCAGCUCAAUGGUCGGUGGGAUAGCUUUGGGAGAUACGUAGAUUUUGAUGUUGAUAGAAUUGUAGUCAUUGAAGAUUCAAAAUAUAGUCAAUUGAAUGCCACAAUUGUAGAGCACCUAAUGAUCGAUACUUCUGUAAAAAUCAUCGAGAUCAAAUACACAGUGAGCUAACGUUAUCCUUCAAUGUAAAUUCGGAACGAUAUGGGAGUUCGAGUGAAUAUGGAGAUGAAAAAAGAAAAUAAAAAUCUAAGAAUGUAUCCGCUGUGUAUAACAGUAAGGGAUUUCAAUUUGGAAUACAAUAUGUCGAAUGCGAGCACAAUUACAGGUUUGCUAUAUUUUUAUAGUCCUGAAGUUUUUCAAUUUUCAAGUCUUCUACAAUUUUACUACAAAUUAUCUGCAACUAUACUAUAGAACAAAUGUAGUUCAAUGGUUAUGUCUCUAAAACAAAUUGAAGUGUAACUGUUACACAGUAAUUAAUGUGAUAAAAAUGUAAAUAAUGAUCACAGAACAAAGUAUCUACAAGUAUAAUAUAAAUUUAAUUUCUGUCAAAUACUGAACAACUGAAUAUGCAGAGGUCUGAAUUACUUUACUUUUAAAUAAGUGGAAGUACUUCUGAUUAUCGUAAUACUAACGUGGUACAAUUGUCAAGCAAUUAUAACACAUUUGGAGAAGUAUCAGGAAUAGUUGAUUGAUAUGCCAACAUCCACGACAAUUGUGGAAUAUGAAAGUAUAAUCAUAACAGAACAUACGCCAAAAGUAAUUGAACUAGGCCAAGUUUACCAAGACAAACAAAUAAUUGUCAGUGCAAUAAAGCACUAUGCUGUCAUGAAUAAGUUUCAAUUUAGGGUAAAAAGGUCUAGUGCAAGAAGGUAAGAAUAUUUUAUUUGUCAAAAUCAUAUUGUGUAUAAAAAAUAUGUUGGUGAUAGUUGUACGUGGCACUUUAAGUCCACAAGCAUAAAUUAAUUAUCAUUAUUCAAGGUUCGAAAAUUCAACAGCUUGCACACAUGCUCGUUGAUGGACAACACAUAUAUAUAACAUAAAGCUACUUCCAUGGUAGUUGGCAGCAUGGUCAUGCCAAAAUAUGUGGAUCCUAAGAUAAUAUACACACCAAAAGACAUACAAACUGACAUGUUGUCGGAACAUGGUAUCAACUUAACAUAUAUGCAAGCUUGGAGAGCAAAGGAAAGGCUUUGAAAUUUUUGAGAGGCCAUCCUGUUGAUUCCUACAGUCGCCUGCCGAGUUAUUUGUAUAUUUUGGAGAAAACUUAUUCGGGGUCGGUAGUGAAAUUGCAGAAGACUGAAGAUGAAUGUUUCUUGUAUGCAUUUGUUGCUCUUAAUACGUUCAUCAAGGGUUGGGAGCAUUAUAGGCCAGUUAUAGCUGACGAUGGCACCUUCUUGAAGUCGGCAUAUAGGGGAAUCAUGCUAACAGCUAACACAAUGGAUGCAACAGGUAGCAUAUUACCACUAGCAUGCGCCGUUGUUGAUUCAGAAAAUGACGCAUCGUGGAGGGGGUCUUUUGAGCAAUUCAAACAUGCAUAUGGUGAAAAACUAAAUAUGUGUAUUGUUUCGGACCGAAAUGAGAGUAUAUUGAAGGCAUCAUCUACGGUUUAUACCGGCAUACCGCAUUAUGCUUGCAUGUGGCAUAUUUGGACAAAUGUAAGAUCAAAGUUCAAGAAAGGUCAUUUAAAGUUAAGCGAAUUAUACUUUGCCAUGGCACGAUCAUACACGCUUGAUGAAAUUAAUGAAAGAAUGUCAACGAUUGAAGAGAUCGACACACGUGUUAAAGCAUACCUAUACGAUAUUGAUUCUCAUAAAUGGUCUCGGGUACAUGCUACGGUGAACAUAACAUGGGCGGUGACAUCAAAUAUUGCAGAGUCCUUGAAUGCGGUAACGAAAGAUGCAAGAGAGCUGCCCUUAGUUCAACUAUUAUAGUACAUGAGGACUCUUCUUGAACGUUGGACUAAUAAAAAGUUAUUGAAUGCAAAGGGUACGUUUACAUACCUUAGGAAAAAAUACAACAAAGAGUUGGAGGACAACAGGACAUUAUCGUAGAAGCUGAGAGUGAGGGCUUCAACAGAUUACAUCCAUACUGUGAUAGAUGGUGUGAAGCGCUUUAUUGUUUGCCUUCAAAACAAGAGAUGUAGUUGUAGACAAUUUCUGCUUGAUGAACUUCUUUGUCCACAUGCUUUGGCGGCUUUGAGGCACAAGAACAAGUCUUAUGAAAACUAUUAUUCUCCUUAUUACACGAGGGAGAGCCUUCUGCAGACUUAUGAAAUACCAGUAGACCCUCUACCUGAUGAAAGAAAAUGGGAUGUGCCACAACAUAUAGCAGAAGAAGUUGUACUGCCACCUACUAGAAAAAGACAGCCAGGGAGACCUCAAAAACAAAGAUACAAACCAUAUGAUGAAAUAAAUGUAAAGAAGUACAAAGUUUCAUGUGGCAAUUACGGACAAGAAGGGCAUAACAAAUGAUCUUGUAGGAAUGCUCCCAAAAGAAAAUAAGAAUUGAUGUAGUAUAAAUAAAUUUUUUUUACUGAGUAUUGUUGAUGAUAACCUGUCAUUUAAGAUACAUUUAUUUGUAUUUGUUCUCUUCUGGAC